GACGAACGCUGGCGGCGUGCCUAACACAUGCAAGUCGAACGGAACCUAGAUGUUAGACUGUAGAUGUUAGAAAUUAGAACAAGGACAUGGUUGGAACUUUAAGAUUGAGCCUAAGGCUUGAGGGACCAUUGUCUUAGAUUUAAAAUCUAAAAUCUAAUGUCUAGAGUCUAACAUCUAGGCUUAGUGGCGGACGGGCGAGUAACGCGUGAGCAACCUGCCCUUAAGAGGGGGACAACGACUGGAAACGGUCGCUAAUACCGCAUGACAUAUCGGGAUGGCAUCAUCUUGAUAUCAAAGGAGAAAUCCGCUUAAGGAUGGGCUCGCGUCCGAUUAGCUAGUUGGUGGGGUAACGGCCCACCAAGGCGACGAUCGGUAGCCGAACUGAGAGGUUGAUCGGCCGCAUUGGGACUGAGACACGGCCCAGACUCCUACGGGAGGCAGCAGUGGGGGAUAUUGCACAAUGGAGGAAACUCUGAUGCAGCAACGCCGCGUGA
RNAcentral lists this ribosomal RNA (494 nucleotides) under uncultured bacterium. RNAcentral describes it as "bacterial SSU rRNA". It matches the Rfam family "Bacterial small subunit ribosomal RNA", at positions 28 to 404 of the family's 1533-position model. The record is from RNAcentral.